UGGUCUUGACAUAGAAAGAACUUUCCAGAGAUGGAUUGGUGCCUGCUUGCAGGAGCUUUCAUACAGGUGCUGCACGGCUGUCGUCAGCUCGUGUCGUGAGAUGUUGGGUUAAGUCCCGCAACGAGCGCAACCCUCGUCGUUAGUUGCUAACAGUUCGGCUGAGAACUCUAACGAGACUGCCUACGCAAGUAGGAGGAAGGUGAGGACGACGUCAAGUCAUCAUGGCCCUUACGACCAGGGCUACACACGUGCUACAAUGGGGUAUACAAAGAGCAGCAAUACGGUGACGUGGAGCGAAUCUCAAAAAUGCCUCCCAGUUCGGAUUGUAGUCUACAACUCGACUACAUGAAGUUGGAAUCGCUAGUAAUCGUAGAUCAGCUAUGCUACGGUGAAUACGUUCCCGGGUCU
This 408-nucleotide ribosomal RNA is filed under the name uncultured bacterium. RNAcentral's name for it is "bacterial SSU rRNA". It matches the Rfam family "Bacterial small subunit ribosomal RNA", at positions 976 to 1381 of the family's 1533-position model. The record is from RNAcentral.